AUCCAGCCGACGAGUCCCAAAUAGGACGAAACGCACUUUGUCGUGGAU
This 48-nucleotide non-coding RNA is filed under the name Trichobilharzia regenti. Lineage: Eukaryota; Metazoa; Platyhelminthes; Trematoda; Strigeidida; Schistosomatidae. The record is from RNAcentral.